RNAcentral lists this transfer RNA (66 nucleotides) under Lepidopsocidae sp. RS-2001. Its description in RNAcentral is "tRNA-His". The record is from RNAcentral. Lineage: Eukaryota; Metazoa; Arthropoda; Insecta; Psocodea; Lepidopsocidae.
AUUUAAAUAGUUUAAAUAAAAAUUGUGGUUUGUGGUUCCAUAGAUAUAAUAAUGUUAUUUUAAAUA